GGACUACUAGGGUUUCUAAUCCUGUUUGAUCCCCACGCUUUCGUGCCUCAGCGUCAGUUACAAUUUAGUGAGCUGCCUUCGCAAUCGGUGUUCUGUGUCAUAUCUAAGCAUUUCACCGCUACAUGACACAUUCCGCCCACCUCAAGUGUACUCAAGACCAUCAGUAUCAAUGGCAAUUCUACAGUUAAGCUGCAGGAUUUCACCACUGACUUAAUAGCCCGCCUACGCACCCUUUAAACCCAAUAAAUCCGGAUAACGCUUGGAUCCUUCGUAUUACCGCGGCUGCUGGCAC
RNAcentral lists this ribosomal RNA (292 nucleotides) under uncultured bacterium. Its description in RNAcentral is "partial 16S ribosomal RNA". The record is from RNAcentral. RNAcentral also lists the same sequence under 1 other name.